ACUCAAACAAUCCACUCGUGCUCCUAGCACUGUGGACCGUGCGCCACGGCAGACCAAGACCAGUGCAGACAAAUGUAGAGGAACGGUAACGUUUAUCCUGCUACCAGUGGAGCAUUCUUAUCAGCGCUUGCGGUCUAACGCUCCUUUUAAAAAAAAAAUAUAUAUAUAUUUCAUAGUUCCUCUUACUGAGCGCACUCAUCAGUAGUGCAUCCCCGACAACAUUAGUGCUUUUUUUUUAUUUUAUUUUAUUUUAGAGGAGCGAGAAUUUAUAUCACAAGCAAAACAGCCUUGGGAUUGUAGACUGGGCUGUGUUAACCCCGUUUCCCAGACACGCACAAAAGCCACGCUCCUGCAGGUCCACCUGGAUAAGCUGAGGAAGCCGUCCGGUCUCGGUUAGAGGUCCAGGAGGGAGACGGAGUGGAGAAAUUAGCGCGGAAGACGGGAGCAACAAAGAAACAGGCAGGAUGAACCUCAAGAGUAAUUUGAUUUUCACUCUCUACACUAUUUAUGGGAUUCUACUGAAAGGUGAGUCUGUGUGGUGAAUCCUCUUCUGUGAAGUACUAUGGAUUUGUGAGUUGUUUUUACAUCAGUUACUUGUGCAUUAAACACAGAUUCUCACUUAGGCUUGACUAAGCCCCCCCGCACAGGUUUCACGUUCCACAGAACCUCUAAGGGUUUUAUUUCAAACUAAAAUGAAAAGCUAAGCAGUAUUUCAUCUCUCAUUGCCAACAAAAAAAAA
Poecilia latipinna (sailfin molly) is the source of this 739-nucleotide long non-coding RNA. RefSeq lists it as uncharacterized. The transcript is spliced from 2 exons. Lineage: Eukaryota; Metazoa; Chordata; Actinopteri; Cyprinodontiformes; Poeciliidae. The record is from RefSeq and is a predicted model, not a curated record.